UACAUGGGGUGCAAACGUUGCUCGGAAUUAUUGGGCGUAAAGCGCACGUAGGUGGUCUGUUAUGUCAGAUGUGAAAGCCCUCGGCUUAACUGAGGAAGUGCACCUGAAACUGGCAGGCUUGAGUACGAAAGAGGGUCGCGGAAUUCCCGGUGUAGAGGUGAAAUUCGUAGAUAUCAAGCGGAACACCGGUGGCGAAGGCGGCCUUCUGGACAGUGACUGACGCUGAGACGCGAAAGCGUGGGGAGCAAACAGG
RNAcentral lists this ribosomal RNA (253 nucleotides) under uncultured bacterium. Its description in RNAcentral is "partial 16S ribosomal RNA". It matches the Rfam family "Bacterial small subunit ribosomal RNA", at positions 524 to 776 of the family's 1533-position model. The record is from RNAcentral.